AUUAAAUAAAUUGUUAUGAGUGCUGUUGAAUCGAAAUUCAACAGAGAAUAGGAAAAUGGGUUGAAUUCCCAUGCUGUCACGCAGCUGUAAGCGAGAAGUUUGAUUUCAUAAUGUCACUGGUGUUUUUGACACUGGGAAGGCGAAAUUAAGAUGAUGAUCCGUAAGCCAGAAGACCUGCUUAUAAUACGAUUCGUUG
Molecule: non-coding RNA, 196 nt
Filed under: Acetobacterium woodii
Lineage: Bacteria; Bacillati; Bacillota; Clostridia; Eubacteriales; Eubacteriaceae
Also listed under: 1 other name
Source: RNAcentral